CCAUCCCGGCUUACCAACCCGAUGCAAACUGCGAAUACCGGAGAAUGUUAUCACGGGAGACACACGGCGGGUGCUAACGUCCGUCGUGAAGAGGGAAACAACCCAGACCGCCAGCUAAGGUCCCAAAGUCAUGGUUAAGUGGGAAACGAUGUGGGAAGGCCCAGACAGCCAGGAUGUUGGCUUAGAAGCAGCCAUCAUUUAAAGAAAGCGUAAUAGCUCACUGGUCGAGUCGGCCUGCGCGGAAGAUGUAACGGGGCUAAACCAUGCACCGAAGCUGCGGCAGCGACGCUUAUGCGUUGUUGGGUAGGGGAGCGUUCUGUAAGCCUGCGAAGGUGGCCUGUGAGGGUUGCUGGAGGUAUCAGAAGUGCGAAUGCUGACAUAAGUAACGAUAAAGCGGGUGAAAAGCCCGCUCGCCGGAAGACCAAGGGUUCCUGUCCAACGUUAAUCGGGGCAGGGUGAGUCGACCCCUAAGGCGAGGCCGAAAGGCGUAGUCGAUGGGAAACGGGUUAAUAUUCCCGUACUUGGUGUUACUGCGAAGGGGGGACGGAGAAGGCUAUGUUGGCCGGGCGACGGUU
Molecule: ribosomal RNA, 575 nt
Filed under: Salmonella enterica subsp. enterica serovar Enteritidis
Lineage: Bacteria; Pseudomonadati; Pseudomonadota; Gammaproteobacteria; Enterobacterales; Enterobacteriaceae
Description: partial 23S ribosomal RNA
Rfam family: Bacterial large subunit ribosomal RNA
Source: RNAcentral